Xenopus laevis (African clawed frog) is the source of this 1088-nucleotide long non-coding RNA. RefSeq lists it as uncharacterized. The transcript has 4 exons. The record is from RefSeq and is a predicted model, not a curated record. NCBI's taxonomy places the organism in Eukaryota, Metazoa, Chordata, Amphibia, Anura, Pipidae.
GGGCUGAGCAGCAGAGAGGGAGCUGGGCAGCUGAGAGGAGGCAGCUAGAGAGCUGGAGAAGCCAGAGGAGCCUGGGACAAGACAACAUGUGAGGAAUGAAGACCAGAGGCAGAGAUGAUGCUGAACUCUAUUCCCCUACUUUUUUGGAGAAGGAAGAAGCAGGAAGAGGACCGCUCCGUGGUACUUGCUGGUGCAGUUUUCUGCUGAUAGGAGCACCAGCCUGGAGUGUCAGGGUCCCUGCUCCACAACUCAGACACUAGAGGUGCUGGUCCCUCUAGAGUAAAAGGGCUUUACUGGGCCUUGGUGUACCCAGGCUCAAUGGGAACUUCCAGAAGCGUCAGCUUUGUUACUCAUUAUCCAAUUAUUGGCAGAAGUUCAUUUUCUCUUAAUAAGAGGUUCUUUACGCCCCUUAUGGAGAAAUGGAAGGCAAAGCUUUUAUAAAUUGCUUUUUAAUGAGAAUCAAAAGGCCAAUGUCGGCAAAGAUGAAGUUGCAUUUAGCCAUAUUGGGUUGUCUGGGUCUUGUACUUUCAGUUCCACUUUGAGUUUAAUUCCGAUAUGUACUCUAAAAUCGUUCUGUCAAUAAUUGUAUGAAAAGUUUACAUAUCUCUCUACAACCACGGCAACAAACGUAUUUGAAGCCGAUUUAUAUUUAUAUAUUUUGCUCUCUCCUUACAUUUGCCAAAUAAAAAGUCAUUUUUGAAUCCAUUAUUUAUUUCAUGAUAGACACUUGCAACAGGGAACCAUCUGGACAGCUCGUUGUUUGCAGCCUUAAUUAAUUUUAUGGCUCGGACUCCUUGAAAAUGAUUGCAAAAGUGAUUAAUCAUUCUGCACGGUUAAACCUUAUUUAUUUGCAAAAGCCUUUUUUUAACUGAUACAAUCUUGGAGCUGUUAGUUACUGUGGGAAGAGGGAGAGGAAGAGGUCACACGUAUCAUCAGGAGGGAUUAAAUGCAGAGGUGACUGGAGGACAUGUUGGGAUGGGCCUACAUGUUAAAAGCAACCAGGCAACAACUGUUCUACUUUGCUUGUCUAGGUUGUAUUUGCGGCUCUCUCACUGUAAAAGACGUCAGAAAGCAGUGUCGGAUUGGGG